UUGAACGCUGGCGGCAUGCUUUACACCUGCAAGUCGAACGGUAACAGCACUUCGGUGGCUGACGAGUGGCGACCGGGUGAGUAAUACAUCGGAACGUGCCUAGUAGUGGGGGAUAACUACUCGAAAGAGUAGCUAAUACCGCAUGAGAUCUAAGGAUGAAAGCAGGGGACCUUCGGGCCUUGCGCUACUAGAGCGGCUGAUGGCAGAUUAGGUAGUUGGUGGGAUAAAAGCUUACCAAGCCGACGAUCUGUAGCUGGUCUGAGAGGACGACCAGCCACACUGGGACUGAGACACGGCCCAGACUCCUACGGGAGGCAGCAGUGGGGAAUUUUGGACAAUGGGCGCAAGCCUGAUCCAGCAAUGCCGCGUGCAGGAUGAAGGCCUUCGGGUUGUAAACUGCUUUUGUACGGAACGAAAAGCCCUCUUCUAAUACAGGAGGGUCAUGACGGUACCGUAAGAAUAAGCACCGGCUAACUACGUG
Molecule: ribosomal RNA, 481 nt
Filed under: uncultured bacterium
Lineage: Bacteria
Description: partial 16S ribosomal RNA
Rfam family: Bacterial small subunit ribosomal RNA
Source: RNAcentral